UAAACGUUGGUCGGAUGAAUGAGGAAAGGCAGGGAAAAUGCUUAGCACAGCUUCUGGGGCCGAGGGAGCAGGUGACAGACAGUAGGAAUGACAGCCAUCAGGUGAAUCAGAUAAGGCAAGGCCCAGCCCCCGGGGCUCCCACUGCUGGGGACACAGGAGACAGGCACGUAGGGCCGAUUGCCACACCCGUGACAUGUCACAAGCACAGGAAGUGACAGGUUGCACGGAGACCCUGAGGCUUCUGGGAGGCGAAGCUGAGCGAGGCUUUUGGGGGCUACACGGACACCUGCCUGGCAGGCCGGGGGAAUGAACAAGGGGGAAUGUGGAGGGAGAUGAGGACAGAGGACACAGGGAGCCCCAAGUUCCUCUCGGAUCCUGCACGUUUGUGUGAAGAGACAGGAUGCUCUCUGACCUCCGCAUGGGCCUCUGUCCUAUGGGGUCCUUGCUCCGUGGGCAGCGGCCCCUUCCUCCCUUUCCAGACCACCCUCCCCAUCUUUGCUGCUGCUUUUCAGCAAAUUUAAAAAAUGAUACUAUCUUUAUUUGACUUCAGGGAAGAAAGUAACACACUCGUUGUUAAAAAAAAUAAAUUCAAACCAAGCAAAAGGAAAUAAAGUAGAACCGGAAACUUCCCGGCUGUCCCGUCCCUAACAGCUUCGAACUUCUAACAUUUUAAUAUUUUUCCUCAUAGCCCUUGAUUUUUCUUUUAAUGAAAAUACUAUCAUAGGAUAUGGAUGGGUUCGUAACCUUUCUUUCUUGCAGAAAUUAACAUGGGCAUAAUAUCAUCUCGAUGCCCCUUUUUUUUCAUUUUUAAAAAUAAACUUUAUUUUUGGGAAGAGUUUUAGAUUUACAGAAAAACUGCAAAGAUAACACAGACUUCUUAUAAAGCCCACUCCCAGUUUCCCCUAUUAUUAAGAUCUCACUUUAAUAUGGUACAUUUAUUACCACUAAUGAACAAAUGCUGAUACAUUAUUAUUGACGAAAGCCCAUACUUUAUUCUACUGCCUUUUAAAAACCUUUUGAUAUAAUUCCAUUGAGAUACAACUUCGUACAACUAACUGGACCCUUUUAAAGUGGACCAAUUUGAUGAGUUUUGACAGAGAUGUCGUCCCAUGAAACUGCCACCGCAAUCAGGACACAGAAUGUUUCCGCCCCUCGCAGCUUCCGCCGUCCCCUGGCCAUCCUCCCCUCCAUCCCCCAGCUUUGGGCGACGCCCAGUCUGCUCCUGGUCACGACAGGUUAGGUUUACCUUUCCCAGCGCGGUGUCGAUGAAGCCACAUUGUACGCAGCCUUUCGAGUCCGGCUCCUGUCCCCCAGCCCGAGACAUUCUUGAUCCACUCACAUUGUCCUGCUUGUCAAGAACUCCUUCCUUAUCGCCCAGAGUGGUCCACGGGGGGAUGGACCACAACGUAUUUAUCUUUUCGCCACUUGAUAGACAUUUUGGGUUGUUUCCAGGUUUGGGUGGUUAUGAAAACCACUGCUUUGAACAUUCCUGUACAAUCGUUUUGUGAAUAUGUGUUUUCAUUUCUCUUGAGUAAAAC
This 1538-nucleotide long non-coding RNA is filed under the name Equus caballus (horse). RNAcentral's name for it is "lncRNA (ENSECAG00000044802.1)". Lineage: Eukaryota; Metazoa; Chordata; Mammalia; Perissodactyla; Equidae. The record is from RNAcentral.